Long non-coding RNA from Labrus mixtus (cuckoo wrasse), 176 nucleotides. RefSeq lists it as uncharacterized. Lineage: Eukaryota; Metazoa; Chordata; Actinopteri; Labriformes; Labridae. The transcript has 2 exons. The record is from RefSeq and is a predicted model, not a curated record.
GAUCAGCUGAUCCAGCGGGGGACACCAGCGCUGUGUGUGGAUGGAGGCGGAGCUUAGUGUCUUACCUCAUCAUGUUCUCCACGCUCUGCUCUUUAACUUUAAUGUCUGAAAAAAUAGAAAGUCUAAAUGAAUCUGAGACCGCACGUUUUUAAAAAUAUACGAUGUGUUAACUAAUA